GUGUUCACUUCAUAGCACAUAUACUAAAAUUGGAACAAUACAGAGAUUAGCAUGGCCUCUGCAAAAGGAUGACACCCAAAUUUUUGGAACAUUCUAUAUUUUU
Molecule: small nuclear RNA, 103 nt
Filed under: Aotus nancymaae (Ma's night monkey)
Lineage: Eukaryota; Metazoa; Chordata; Mammalia; Primates; Aotidae
Source: RNAcentral